Molecule: long non-coding RNA, 1190 nt
Organism: Gallus gallus (chicken)
Lineage: Eukaryota; Metazoa; Chordata; Aves; Galliformes; Phasianidae
Source: Ensembl
CAAAGGGGGAAGAGAGCUUAGCAAAAACAAGACCUAGCCCGGCACUGCAGCGAGGUGGCUGUUUGACUCCGGUGCGAUGCUGGCACAGGUGACCCAGCAAAGACCUGAGCCCCGCUCCCCAGGAGCCAGCACUGUGUUGAGGCAAUAGGCGCGUGCUCUGAUCCAGAGCACUCCCAAUGCUUGCACAGCAGCAGAGUGGGGCCCGAAUGGUGCCCUGCCCUGGGAGCAGCUGGCUCCGGGUGAGGCUGUGGUCUGAGAGACCCCGGUUCCUAUUGAUGGAGGUUUUCAGCUCACAGAGCUCAGUGAGAGGCACACCGGGCUUCAGCUGAGCACAUCCCACAGCAGCAGUGACCUUGUGGGUGAGGGUCUGCGGUGCCAUUGCUGCACCCUGAUAGGAAACACUGCCUCGCAAAGACCCCACAAGACAGGAGGGACUGCGGGGUCUGAAACUGCUUCCAGUAGUGGCGAGCGGCGGCCUCCUGCCGAGUUCAAAAGGCAAAACAUCUCAUUUGGAGCAGGGCGGACUGUAUAUCACCCUGCGCAUAAAGUGGAGCUCUUCUAUUAAAAGUUGAGUUCGGGUUUCAGGACUCAAUGUGAAUUAUUGCUUUCUCCUCCCGGCCCUCUGGCUGCACCGAGCACACACGCACCGCGCGCUUCGGAUGGAAGCAGCAGCCCUUCUCACCGGGCUCCAUCUCUCCGGCUCGGAGGAUCCGAGCGCUGUCCGCGUCCCUCCCCUCGCUGCUUUCCUUGGCCCGUUGCUGCGCAGGGUAGGAACGUUUGCGCCAUUUCCUGUUGUCUCUCUCUUCUGCUCCUGAGAUAUUGUAAAAAUGUUCGAAGUACAAACCGAAGCUUGCACUGCAGCGUCUUCAUCUCUUCCAUCAGACGGUGGUGUUCCUGCUGUGCUCUCUCCUCGUGCACAUUUCUGGAGCAGCUCUCACUUACACCAGGAGAGCCUUUACCCCAUGAAAGCAGAGGAUGCAAUUCGGAGGGGAUGCGGCCGUGGGUCACCGUGGCAGUGGCACAGCUGGUGCCUGCCCGUCCCUCUGGGUCAGCACUGCUGCAGGGGCUGACCCCAUCUCUGACUCCUUCUGGGGAUUUCAGCUCUGGAUUUCAGUUUCCCUUUGUGUGACAGUGUCCUGUAUGAGCCGGAUGCCACAGCACGGCCACACUGUGCCCGUGGGGACUGUCCC